RNAcentral lists this long non-coding RNA (864 nucleotides) under Marmota monax (woodchuck). Lineage: Eukaryota; Metazoa; Chordata; Mammalia; Rodentia; Sciuridae. The record is from RNAcentral.
ACUGACCCAUUUCUCUUUUUAGUUAAGCCUUUUUAAUCACCACAUUACUUUGGCUCUGUGAAUAGGCAGUUUUCCAUAAGCAAGGUGGGAAGGGAACAUAAUUUCCUUGAAUUAGUGUCUUAAACUAGAAAUGGUGGUGUUCUCAUGAAGAAAAGGCCUACUUUUGGCCCAACCUCUAUCAUAUCAGUGAACCUUGGGGGAAGGAAAAAAAAAAAAAAACACUAAGAAAUUCACAGCCAGGAGUUAGGUUAUCAUCCCAUUCAUUGUUCUCUACUUAUGGGUGUCAAACAGAGAAGGUUUUGUUGUAUAAAAACACUUUACUUUCUCAAUCUCUCCCAUUUCUACUUAAGUCAACUUUCAUUUUCUCUUAAUAAUAUUUCCUUUCCUGAAACAAGAAAAUAUGAAAGAAAAAGGAAUGUCAUUCCUUCCUGACAUUCUUACUCCUCCUUCUUUGGUAUCAUGAACUUCUUGAAGCCCAAUCACCAGUGUCUUAAGUACCCCAAUUAAAUGGUCAUGGAUAGACUUCAUUUUGAAAAUGCAUUGUUAAAGGCAUAAAUGACUCAUUCCUCUGUGGAUCACUACUAAUUAACUAAUUGUCCAUAAAUACACACACACACACACACACACACAUAAAAUCUUCAGUGCUGUGCUGAGAAUUAAAGCCCCUUUGUUCACUGAUUGAAAAUGGAUCUCCAAGAUGGAACGUCAUUCAUUCUACUGAGGAGAAGGAGUAUCUCUAGGACCAUCCCCUUGUGAUACUCUGCACACUUGAGUCAAACUUGAUGUAUAGAUGUCUAUCUGAAGCUACCCCAGUGGGGGAUGAUGACAUAUGGAUAGCUAAAACCUAAAGGAUGUUUGUGAUUU